Helianthus annuus (common sunflower) is the source of this 1417-nucleotide long non-coding RNA. RefSeq lists it as uncharacterized. NCBI's taxonomy places the organism in Eukaryota, Viridiplantae, Streptophyta, Magnoliopsida, Asterales, Asteraceae. The record is from RefSeq and is a predicted model, not a curated record. The transcript is spliced from 4 exons.
UGUUAUGGAUUCCAUCUCUUUUGAUAUUUGAUAUAGAUUCCAUCUCUUUCUCUUUUUCUGGUGUUUGUCAUCGAUAAUUUUUGUUUUGAUAUUUUUUUAAACACAUUUAGUUUAAAAGUUUGCGUUGUGGAUGCUCAUGGUUUGUUUGAUAUUGCUGGAUCUCUUUUGAAAACCCUUUUAAUCUAUUGAUUUGCAGGAGGAUCUCAUGGUUCGUUUCAUGGCAACCUUAUAGUGAUAUGCAGUUUUAACAAUUUGUCCUCGACUAUCGAGCAACCAGAGCAACAGUAUCAUUCACAGCCAGUUAAACGUGUUAGAUCAAGGAAUUCCUCACUAAUAUGCCCUCUGGGAUCGAUGUAGCAAUGUGAAGGAUUCAUCACACAAUGAGUUUACUGGUGAUAGUGUGGUUGAGGUUGUUGUUGCAUCUGUGAAAGAAACCACAUCAACAAUGUGAAUAUCAUCAUUUUGGCCACACCAGGUUAUGUUGAUGUUAAAUCUCCUCCUAUACUUGGGGUGGUGAGUUCAGAAUACCAUGAUAAUGAGGAGAAAACGAAGAAGGAUUUUUCAAGGAUGGAACCUGUGAAUAUGAGUCUCUCGACGCUGUAAGUAGUAUGGUAGAUUUUAUCCCCUAUAGUAGCUUGAUUUGAUGGGUUAGCCAUUUUGGGGUAAAAAAAUAGUGUUGGUUGGUUCAUAAAAUGGUAAUCAUGUGGAUUGUGUGCUAUUCAUGCCUUUGAUGUUAAAAAGAAUCAUUUUAGGCUUGCAUCUUGAGUAGUAGUAUGGCCAGUUUUUAAUUUUCAACACAAGCAAUUGGAAUUCUUAUGUUUGACUGUUUUCUUGAUUAUUUGAUCUUCGGAACUUUGUGGGUAGUUUGUGUAUUUAGUGCAUAAUCUAUAAUUAUAUUCCUAUAUUCCGGCUUCGAACUGUCGAUCCCGCCGCAACGUGCGGGUUACCCACUAUUCUGUUUUAAUGUUGUUAAACGAAAAUUCUGAUUGUUUAAAAUCAUUUUAAUUUAUUCAUAAAUAGCUGAAGGAUGACAAAAUGUAGUAUGUUUCUCUAUAUUAUAUAACUGAAAAAUACGAUACUAACAGUUGAAUUUUUGAUUCAUGAACCAUCUUCAAAACUACCCUGAAUUUCGACUAAAUCCAGAAGAAGCUGAUGGAGAAGGGUGUCAAGAGGAGGUUCACGUGGUUUUUACACGAAUGGGCAGGAAAUAGAGACGGGCUAAAUGCCCGUGAAGCCGAUGGUACACUAAAGCCACUAAAGGAAUAUAAUGGUCCUUUGGAGGACAAUGGUCACCAGAUUGCUCCGGAUAUCGACCUCCCUGAAGGUUUCAUGAGUAAUGAAACUAUAGAUUUCUGGGAUGCAAUUUAUGAAGUAAGCGGGAAACCUUUCUGUGAUUCAGAGGAGUUAGCUUUAGGUA